RNAcentral lists this ribosomal RNA (421 nucleotides) under uncultured bacterium. RNAcentral's name for it is "bacterial SSU rRNA". It matches the Rfam family "Bacterial small subunit ribosomal RNA", at positions 82 to 518 of the family's 1533-position model. The record is from RNAcentral.
CGGUGAGAGGAAAGUGGCGGACGGGUGAGUAAUGUGUAGAGAAUCUGCCCUAGAGUGAGGGACAACAGAGGGAAACUUCUGCUAAUACCUCAUAUGCGCGUAGCUGAGAUGCUAUUCGUGAAAACUCCGGUGCUCUGGGAUGAGUCUGCAUCUGAUUAGCUAGUUGGGGGUGUAAUGGACCACCAAGGCGACGAUCAGUAGCUGGUUUGAGAGGAUGAUCAGCCACAAUGGGACUGAGACACGGCCCAUACUCCUACGGGAGGCAGCAGUAGGGAAUUUUGCGCAAUGGGGGGAAAAACCCCCUGACGCAGCAACGCCGCGUGAACGAAAAAGCCCUUCGGGGUGUAAAGUUCUGUCAGUGGGGACGAAACUUGACGGUACCCACAGAGGAAGCAUCGGCUAACUCCGUGCCAGCCGCGGC